UACGAAGGUAGCUAGCGUUGUUCGGAAUCACUGGGCGUAAAGCGCACGUAGGCGGCUUUGUCAGUCAGGGGUGAAAUCCCGGGGCUCAACCUCGGAACUGCCUUUGAUACAGCAAGUCCUGAGUUCGAGAGAGGUGGGUGGAAUUCCUAGUGUAGAGGUGAAAUUCGUAGAUAUUAGGAAGAACACCGGUGGCGAAGGCGGCCCACUGGCUCGAUACUGACGCUGAGGAGCGAAAGCGUGGGGAGCGAACAGG
RNAcentral lists this ribosomal RNA (253 nucleotides) under uncultured bacterium. Its description in RNAcentral is "partial 16S ribosomal RNA". It matches the Rfam family "Bacterial small subunit ribosomal RNA", at positions 524 to 776 of the family's 1533-position model. The record is from RNAcentral.